GGUUAAGCGACUAAGCGUACACGGUGGAUGCCCUGGCAGUCAGAGGCGAUGAAGGACGUGCUAAUCUGCGAUAAGCGUCGGUAAGGUGAUAUGAACCGUUAUAACCGGCGAUUUCCGAAUGGGGAAACCCAGUGUGUUUCGACACACUAUCAUUAACUGAAUCCAUAGGUUAAUGAGGCGAACCGGGGGAACUGAAACAUCUAAGUACCCCGAGGAAAAGAAAUCAACCGAGAUUCCCCCAGUAGCGGCGAGCGAACGGGGAGGAGCCCAGAGCCUGAAUCAGUGUGUGUGUUAGUGGAAGCGUCUGGAAAGGCGCGCGAUACAGGGUGACAGCCCCGUACACAAAAAUGCACAUAUUGUGAGCUCGAUGAGUAGGGCGGGACACGUGGUAUCCUGUCUGAAUAUGGGGGGACCAUCCUCCAAGGCUAAAUACUCCUGACUGACCGAUAGUGAACCAGUACCGUGAGGGAAAGGCGAAAAGAACCCCGGCGAGGGGAGUGAAAAAGAACCUGAAACCGUGUACGUACAAGCAGUGGGAGCACGCUUAGGCGUGUGACUGCGUACCUUUUGUAUAAUGGGUCAGCGACUUAUAUUCUGUAGCAAGGUUAACCGAAUAGGGGAGCCGAAGGGAAACCGAGUCUUAACUGGGCGUUAAGUUGCAGGGUAUAGACCCGAAACCCGGUGAUCUAGCCAUGGGCAGGUUGAAGGUUGGGUAACACUAACUGGAGGACCGAACCGACUAAUGUUGAAAAAUUAGCGGAUGACUUGUGGCUGGGGGUGA
RNAcentral lists this ribosomal RNA (781 nucleotides) under Escherichia coli. RNAcentral's name for it is "partial 23S ribosomal RNA". It matches the Rfam family "Bacterial large subunit ribosomal RNA", at positions 1 to 824 of the family's 2925-position model. Lineage: Bacteria; Pseudomonadati; Pseudomonadota; Gammaproteobacteria; Enterobacterales; Enterobacteriaceae. The record is from RNAcentral.